AGGACGAACGCUGGCGGCGUGCUUAACACAUGCAAGUCAAGGGGGCCCGCAAGGGCAACCGGCGAACGGGUGCGUAACACGUGAGCAACCUACCGAGAUCUGGGGGAUAGCCGGCCCAACGGCCGGGUAAUACCGCAUACGCUCUUUCCACGGCAUUGUGGAUUGAGGAAACCUCCGGGGGAUUUCGAGGGGCUCGCGGCCUAUCAGCUAGUUGGCGAGGUCACGGCUCACCAAGGCGACGACGGGUAGCUGGUCUGAGAGGAUGGCCAGCCACAUUGGGACUGAGAGACGGCCCAGACUCCUACGGGAGCAGCAGUGGGGAAUCUGCGCAAUGGCCGAAAGGCUGACGCAGCGACGCCGCGUGUGGGAGGAAGCCCGUUCGGGUGUAAACCGACUGGUUCGGCCCCGGGAACGAACGAGCCUCCGUUCGUGGACGCCGUGGACCGGUACCGGGUGACGGAAGCCGACCGGCUAACCGUCCGCGACCAGACAGGUCCGC
RNAcentral lists this ribosomal RNA (499 nucleotides) under uncultured soil bacterium. RNAcentral's name for it is "bacterial SSU rRNA". It matches the Rfam family "Bacterial small subunit ribosomal RNA", at positions 26 to 524 of the family's 1533-position model. The record is from RNAcentral.